GAGUGAACGCUGGCGGUAGGCCUAACACAUGCAAGUCGAACGGCAGCCCAGUAAGAGCUUGCUCUUACGGGUGGCGAGUGGCGGACGGGUGAGGAAUACAUCGGAAUCUACUUUUUCGUGGGGGAUAACGUAGGGAAACUUACGCUAAUACCGCAUACGACCUACGGGUGAAAGCAGGGGAUCUUCGGACCUUGCGCGAUUGACUGAGCCGAUGUCGGAUUAGCUAGUUGGCGGGGUAAAGGCCCACCAAGGCGACGAUCCGUAGCUGGUCUGAGAGGAUGAUCGGCCACACUGGAACUGAGACACGGACCAGACUCCUACGGGAGGCAGCAGUGGGGAAUAUUGGACAGUGGGCGCAAGCCUGAUCCAGCCAGACCGCGUGGGUUAAGAAGGCCUUCGGGUUGUAAAGCCCUUUUGUUGGUAAAGAAAAGCAGCAGGUUAAUACCCCGCUGUUCUGACGGUACCCAAUGAAUAAGCACCGGCUAACUUCGUG
RNAcentral lists this ribosomal RNA (493 nucleotides) under uncultured bacterium. Its description in RNAcentral is "partial 16S ribosomal RNA". It matches the Rfam family "Bacterial small subunit ribosomal RNA", at positions 27 to 507 of the family's 1533-position model. The record is from RNAcentral.